Molecule: ribosomal RNA, 372 nt
Filed under: uncultured bacterium
Lineage: Bacteria
Description: bacterial SSU rRNA
Rfam family: Bacterial small subunit ribosomal RNA
Source: RNAcentral
AUACGUAGGUCCCGAGCGUUAUCCGGAACUACUGGGCGUAAAGGGUCCGUAGGCGGCUGGGUAAGUCAGUAGAUAAAGCCUGGCUCUCAAGGCCAGUCCUUCUACUGAUACUGCUUAGCUUGAGGGCAGGAGAAAACAGGGGAAUUCCCGGUGUAGCGGUGAAAUGCGUAGAUAUCGGGAGGAGCACCAGUGAGGAAGCUGCCUGUUUGGCCUGUUCCUGACGCUGAGGGACGAAAGCCAGGGGAGCAAACCGGAUUAGAUACCCGGGUAGUCCUGGCUGUAAACGAUGAGUGCUAGGUGUGGGGUGUAACACUCCGUGCCGCAGGUAACCCAUUAAGCACUCCGCCUGGGUAGUACGGGCGCAAGCCUGAA